CAGGUAAGGUGUUUGGGCCUCCAAUUGAGCCCAUCAAUAUAGGUGAUUGAAUAAAUUGAAAAGUGAAUUAAAACAAAGUAAAUCUGCUAAUUGCAAGAAUAGAGGUAAUCACUAUCAAUCAUACAAUUUGUCAAAUUUAGUCAUGAAUCUCAAAAUGACGAAAUCCAGGUCUAAGCCUUGAUCAUUUUGCAUAAAAAAUAAUUACUACUACAAUUAAAGUAAUCAAUAAACUCCUUUUAUACAAAUCAAAAUAUUUAUGUAAGCAUCAUUACUAAAGAAUCAACACAGUAACCAAUUCAGAGCUAUGACUAAGUCUUUAUACCACCAAAUGUCAUAAGAAAUCUUCCUACUACCUUCAGUAGCCUCCUGCCCUUUUAUCUGUUGAUAAGAAUCAAUCUCAAAUUUUGAAAAUGAGUGGUUUUAAGCUUGAAAUGGCCAAAUAACACAGCUACAAUUCUAAUUGAAAACAACACAUAGAUUAUCUUUAGUAGGCAUCAAAUUUCGAUCUACUUCAACAUUUUUAUAUAUUUUUGAAACAUGGAACAAACUAAUAGAUCCCAUUAAGACAGAUGAUUAUCAAUAGCACAUAGACUAGUUCAUGAAUGAUUUUGUACUGAUUUUACCAGAGAAAUUAAUGAACAUAAAUAGUCAUUAAAAAAAAGACAAAGAUAGAGCAGAUAACAAUGUAACACAAGGAUAAGGUAUGGAGUUGAGUAUAACCAUGAAAACAAAUAUUCAGAUCUUCAUUUACAAUCUCGAAGAGAAUCAUAAGUGAGAAUUAACAUACCUAAAAGCAAUAACUAAGCAGCAGUUAAUCAAGCAAGGUCUAGGAUUCCCAAAUUCAACAGCAGCAGGGAAAAUCAACAGGAUCGAGUCAGCAAACAGCAACUCUAAAGCUUGAAAAUCUUUUGACAAUCCCAGAAAACUACCACCUAAGUAUGCUGAAAUUCCAAACAUCUUUUCUCCUUCUUCUUUUUUCCUUCUUUAUUUUUUUGUAUUUUUCAAAUCGAAACUUUUGAGAGUAUUUUUCCUCAGAAGAAAUCAGUAUCAGAUGAAAAGAAAAGUUUGAAAAUUUGUCCAGAAGAUGAGUGAAAAAUUUGUGUGAGAUUGAUAGAGUAAGGGAGUGUGUGGAUGCAGAUGAGCGAAUGAAGAAGGAGAUGGGUGGCGGCUAGGGUUCUUUGAGUGUGAGGGGUCUAUUCUUAGAGAGGAAGAAGGAUGCUAGGGUUUCUUGAGGGAAGGGGGGUGGGGGGUCUCUUUCCAAAGAGGAUUGGGAUUUA
This 1277-nucleotide long non-coding RNA is filed under the name Nicotiana tabacum (common tobacco). RNAcentral's name for it is "long non-coding RNA (NTAB_LNC002728)". The record is from RNAcentral. Lineage: Eukaryota; Viridiplantae; Streptophyta; Magnoliopsida; Solanales; Solanaceae.